Molecule: long non-coding RNA, 184 nt
Filed under: Oryctolagus cuniculus (rabbit)
Lineage: Eukaryota; Metazoa; Chordata; Mammalia; Lagomorpha; Leporidae
Description: lncRNA (ENSOCUG00000034730.1)
Source: RNAcentral
AUGGUAUUAACCAGUAACUCUAUCCUACAGGAAAAUGGAAAUAUCAUUCACCAGAAAGAACUGAAGUUCUCAGACCCAGCGGAUGACAGAAGGACAACACCAGAGGGCUGUGGGGGAAUGGAGCCGAUCAUCUGUCAAGCCUUUUCUUGGAGUAAGUACGUGAUACCACGCUUCUGCUCUGCCA